This 216-nucleotide ribosomal RNA is filed under the name Glomeromycotina sp. RNAcentral's name for it is "partial small subunit ribosomal RNA". The stretch from base 40 to 216 matches the Rfam family "Eukaryotic small subunit ribosomal RNA", at positions 686 to 864 of the family's 1831-position model. Lineage: Eukaryota; Fungi; Glomeromycota. The record is from RNAcentral.
GGGUCAGUAGGUUGGUCGUGCCACCGGUACGUACUGGUCUAACUGAUUCCUCCUUCCUGAAGAACCGUAAUGCCAUUAAUUUGGUGUUUCGGGGAAACAGGACUGUUACUUUGAAAAAAUUAGAGUGUUUAAAGCAAGCUAACGCUUGAAUACAUUAGCAUGGAAUAAUGAACUAGGACGAUCGAUCCUAUUUUGUUGGUUUCUAGGAUUGACGUA